GCUUACUCUUUUGUACCUUUGGAAUUUUGUAAAUGUGCAUUCCUCAUUUGAAUAAAUAGACAUCUUUUUUUUUUUUUUUUUUUUUUUUUUUUGAGACAGAGUUUCCCUUUUGUUGCCCAGGCUGGAGUACAGUGGUGUGAUCUCAGCUCACUGCAACCUCAGCCUUCUGGGUUCAAGCGAUUCUCCUGCCACAGCCUCCUGAGUACCUGGGAUUACAGGUGCCUGCCACCAUGCCUGGCUAAUUUUUGCAUUUUUAGUAGAGACAGGGUUUCCCCAUGUUGGCCAGGCUGGUCUUGAACUCCUGACCUCAGGUGAUCCACCCCCUUGGCCUCCCAAAGUGCUGGGAUUACAGGCAUGAGCCACUGCACCCAGCCAGUAUUUUAUAUUUUUUUGAGACAGGGUCUUGCUCUGUCACCCAGGCUGAAGUGCAGUGGUGCAAUCACAGCUCACUGCAACCUCCCCCUCCCGGGUUCAAGCGAUUCUCCUGCCUCAGACUCCCAAGUAGCUGGGAUUACAGGUGUGUGCCACCAUGCCCAGCUGAUUUUUGUAUUUUUAGUAGAGAUGGCGUUUCACCAUGUUAGCCAGGCUGGUCUCAAUUUCCUGACCUCAGGUGAUCUACCUGCUGCCUUCCAAAGUGCUGGGAUUAUAGGUAUGAGCCACUGGCUUCGGCUAGGAAAUACUAUUGGAACCCUGCUACUGAAAGUGUGGCCCAUGGACCAGGAGCUUGGGCAUUAUCGGGAGCUUGUUAGAAAUUCAGAACCUUGGGCCCUAUAGCCCAGACUCCACCUUUUUUUUUUUUUUUAAGAAGGAGUCCUACCCUGUAGUGCAGGCUUGAGUGCAGUGGCAUGAUCUCGGCUCACUGCAACCUCUGCCUCUUGGGUUCAAGUGAUUCUCCUGUCUCAGCCUCCCAAGUAGCUGGGACUACAGGCAUGAGCCACCGCGCCUGGCUAAUUUUUGUAUUUGUAGUAGAGACAAGGUCUCAUGUUGGCCAGCUUGGUCUCGAACUCCUGACCUCAAGUGACUUGCCUGCCUCAGCCUCCCAAAGUGCUGGGAUUACAGGUGUGAGCCAUGGUGCCCAGCCCAGAUGCCACAAUUUAAAAGGCUUACUUUCCUGGGUCAAGCUGCCUUUUUUGGGGGUCAUUAGGGAAGGAAUGGAUGUGUGCUCUACGGGUUCUUAUAAUAGCAAUGAACCUUCAUAAUCAGACUCAUUCCUUAAUUUUGCUUACUUUUUCAUGCAGCUGCAUUAAUACUACAUUGUCAAAGACAAAGACGAACAUGAGACAUGAGAUAUGAGUUUUAAAAGGAGAGAAGAGCAAAAAAACAAUACAGCUAUCCAAGGAGCAAGUGCUGAGCUUGUGAAAAAACAGCUUCUAUUUUAUUAAAUAAUAGUGUUCCUGCAGGGAUGUCUGAAGUACUCUGCAAGGCUAAUUAGGACAGAUCAAUGUACACUUAACCUCUCCAGAAGGCUGAAAGAUACAGACUGAAAUGUUACCAGAUAAAAUGAUGUCAUGUCUGGGAUUCACUUCAAAAUAAUUUGAGGUGGAAGUGGAAAGUGGAAACAACAAUUAUGAAACAACCUGGCCCAUGAGAUGAUAGCUGUCGAAGGUAGGUAUGGUUAUACAAAAUUUCAUUACACUUUUCCCUCUACUUUUCUAAUAUAUUCUGAAUUUUCAUAACAAAAAGUUAAAUACACUUAAAAGUAGACAAAUACAUACUAAUUUGAGGUGGUGGUUAAGGACUCAGAAGUUACAGUCCAUGUGUCUGAAUGAAAGUACUUUCUCAAACAUGCAGAUAUCAGAGAUUUGUAGGAUUCCUUCAAUGGAGACCCAUGUUUUCUCCACACAGAACACUGGUUUCUGAGCAAAAGUAGGCCCUCUUUCUGAAAACAGAUCUGACAAUAUGAAAUGGUUGGCUACUUAACUGAAGAUACCAAAAGGAAAAAAAAAAAGGACACCAAAAAACUGGGUCUACAAAUGUGGUUGUUGGUUCUCCUUGUUUUUUUUUUCAAAUAAGGCUCGGUUUAGGAGCAGUCUAAUAGAGCAUGUGACUGCUAUACUUCCAACAGUAUCUUUGCAAAUAAAUACAACCCAUACAAUUCAAUUGUCCAUCCCACUUUUCCUGUUUGUUUAUUGCUCUUCAACAGCAGUUUCACCUCAUGCUUUUUAAUUUUUUCAUCCUGAGGCAAGGAAGAAGGAUCUUUAGAGUUGUUAAAAAAGUUUCCUGAAGUCAAGUAAUUCAUUAGAAAGUAUGUUUUAUCCAGAAUCCUAUUGUUUCACUGCAGAAGGAACACUCAGUAGCUUGUCCAAGGUUAUGCCAAAGGAAGUCUCCUCUCUCUCGCUUAUCUGAAUCCUAUCCUUCCAAAAGAACAUGCCCAGGUCCAAUAAACAGAGUUCCUAAAAGGACGGAUGUCUCCCAUUUAAAAAAAUAUUUCCCAGAGUCUCUAGGUUCAAUGUCCUACAAAUAAUCAGCAUUCAAGAUAUGAAUUUACUAACUUUUAAAAUCUAUACAAAUUUAAAAUUUUCAAUAUUAUUUUAUACGCAAUUAUCCUAUCUAUGAUAUUACUGUCUAGCAUUAUUAUAAAAGUAUCAUCACAAAUCCUAAUGAUCAUUUCCACUAAACGCCUGAAAAGGUCAUGGGAGAUUUAAAUUCUGAUGUGUGCUUUGGAAGUAGAAUCAGCUUUUGGAGAAACAAGGCUAGGGAGCACUUUUUGAGGCCGAUUACAUUUUUGGAAUUAUUUGCCAAGUUGUAUUGCCAAGUUGCAUUGCAGAACUUGUAAGAAAACUUUUUCCUUUUUUUAUUUUUAUUUUAUUUAUUUAUUUAUUUAUUUUUUGAGAUGGAGUUUCACUCUUGUUGCCCAGGCUGGAGUGCAAUGAUGUGGUCUCAGCUCACUGGAACCUCCACCUCCCGGGUUCAAGUGAUUCUCUUGCCUCAGCCUCCCAAGUAGCUAGGAUUACAGGCGCCUGCCACCACGCCCGGCUAAUUUUGUAUUUUUAGUAGAGACAGGGUUUCACCAUGUUGGUCAGGCUGGUCUUGAAUCCUGACCUCAGAUGAUCCACUCACCUUGGCCUCCCAAAGUUCUGGGAUUACAGUCAUGAGCCACAACACCCAGCCAAUUAUAACUAAACUUUUAAAAAUAUUUGUCCCCAUAGUUAGAAUUUUCAUUAGUGUAUUUAUCUUUUUCAUGUAGUCUUGUUUACAAAGGCCAUUUUAAAAGUUGCUGUCCCAGGCUUAUAAAGUAAUUUUAUAAUGUCUUCCUAUCGACCAUAUGAAAAGCAUUCAUCUCUGAGAAAGUAUCAUAAAGAAAUUCUACUGUAAUAUAAUUCAAAUAUUAAAGUAAACAUAAAAAAUUAUAUUGUAUGACAGAAUACCAAAAGAAAUAGAAAAUCUCUGCAAGAGGGUAUUUAAUUUCUGAUGAAAACAAAAUAGUACUCUUUACAGUUUGGCCUAUCACAUGACAGUAUUUCUCAAAAUCCUGCUAAAUUAAUGUUGGAGCACACUUCUUCAGGCAUUAAUGAUUUCAGUAAUGGUCAAUGGUAGUUGAUACAGAUAAGAAAUAACUGAUAGUGAUAUCAAAUCUAUACAUAUUUGACUCUCCCCACAUUUCUAAGUGAUCUAGACCAGAGCUAGGUUGUUUAUAUGGUAGCCACUAGUUACAUGUGGGCUAUUUAUAUUUAAAUUAAUUAAAUGUAAAUAAAAUUCAAAAUUAAGUUUCUCUGUUGCACUAGCCAUGUUUCAAGUACUCAAUAGCCACAUAUGGCUAGUGAGUACCAUAUUGGAUGGUGCAGCUAUGGAACAUGUCCAUUAUCACAGAAAGUUCUACUAAACAAGGUUGGUCUACAUUAGAGAGGUGACUACUGAUGAAUGGAAAAUCUCAAAUAUAUACAUAAAUGUGUGUGUGUGUGUAUAUAUAUAUACAUAUACACAUUUAUUUCUAUAGCAAUUUUCCUUUUGUUAUAGGAGGUUUCAUUAAAUAUGUCAAAUUUAAAUUUUUUUUCUGGAAAAAUUUAUAUUUUAAUGUAAACAGUUAAAAUUGUGCCAUGAGCAUUGUACUAUAGAUUUUCAUUUCCCUUGUAUUACAAGGAGAAUGAAUUCAAAAGAUUCCAUUUUCUCAAAAUAGUGAAUUAUAACAUUACCUGGUCUUCCCCUUCAAUUAGCAUUUUCUUUCUUUAUAAACAUCUAUUCUAAGCCCUCUCUGCUUCCAAUUUUACUCAGCCAAAGCCCACUUUUAUUAUGCAGCAAGGAAAUCCCACUUCUGGCCUCAAACUCCACUUUCAGUGGAGUUUGGUAGCACUUCCGGUCUCAAACUCCACACUUGUGAAGUUUGUGAGUUACAUAAAAAAUUAAAUUCCUAGCCAGGUCUUCCUAUUGGGUGAGGAGGCCCUUCCAAAGUUCCAGCGAAUUCCUUAGUCUGACAACUUUUCUCAAUUCAGAAAGAUGUGUUUGGUAACAUAUAUUAAAAGGCAGAAAUAUGCAAAUGCAUAAACAAUAGAAUUUGACAUAAUUAUGUGAUAAAGUGAAAUGCUCCUGCAGUUAGUUAUUGAACAUGAAGGACCUCUCUAAUUCUUCAGAGAAACUGUGAGAUAAUCUCUACCAUUUAUGCUUAGCAAGGAGCCAUGCUGCAGAGGAAAAGUAGAAAUACACACGAGUGACAAAAGCAAAAAAAAAUAUAUAUGAAAAACUCUGAAACCACCCUCAAUGAAAAGUAAUAUGUCUGUAUUUAAAGAGUAGGUAAAUCAUAUAGUGAAUUUAGAAGGUAAAAAAUGAGGUCUAUAAUUACAUGAGUAUAUAGAAAAUGUUAAGUGUUUUCGUGAAAAGCUAUAUAAACAAUAAUGAAUAAUCAUUUCACAUUGAAAAUAAUUUAAUUUUAAAAGGAGAUAGUACAAAUAACAAAAAAAAAAAGUCGAAGUAUGGAAAUAGUAGAAAUUUCAAAUAUUUUAGGAAUGUCUUUCUCCAGAGUAGCAUGUUGUUUAGAAACUAAAUUUCCACAGUAGAUUUCAUAGCUCCUGAACAUGAAUUAAAACUUUGAUAUUAGCUGCAGAAAUGUACAUUAGUUUGUGGGGAGGGGAUAAAGAAAAUAAUGUGCCAACCUCCCAACAAUUUCCCCAAACAGAUUUUUGCAUCUUGGUCAUUACACUUACUUUCAAGAUUCUUUUCUUGGUUUAAACAUGUAAUCUUGUCUCUUUGCUCACCUGCUCACUCUUCAAGCAAGCCUACGGCCAAAUAAAUUGCCAUACAUGUUUACCAAUAAACCAUUAUUUUCCAAGGAAUUUUUCUUAAUUUUUAAAAUUUAACAAGUUUAACUACAAUUAAUAAAGUACUCCCGGCACAAGGACUCUGAAACAUUGUUUGGGUCUUGGAAAAGUUUGAAACUUCCAAUUCAUUAGGACUUUGAGUAACUAUUUUGUACCUAAGAAUGAGAAUUGAUGGAGAGAGUGGUACUAAGCACAUAAUUUUAUGAAAUAUGAUGAAAACAUGAGAGUUUUGUUAUGACGCACAUAACAAUAAAGAACCUGUUUCUUUUUAGCAGGCUCCUAAAAAGUACCUCCCUUAUAAUUAUUAAAUAAAAACACUCACUUAUUCAGUACUCAGCUAGCUUUUAAGAUCUGAAUAACAGAAGUACACAGUGAGAGAGGUACUUACAUGGUUUCCUUGGAUACUGGAUGAUGCCAUUCAGGUCUAUGUUUUUAUCUGAAAGUGGUGCCCUGUGGAGAAACGAGGCUUGGUGAGUGGCUGUUUAUACAUAGUAAGUAAAUAGGAACUUUGUUUAUUUUACAAAGCAUUUUUUAUUUUGACCCAGCUUUCCUUUUCUCAUCACACCCAACUCCUGUAAACAGCAAUAAUAUGGUAGAACAGGUACUCUGUACAACUCUUUUUAACUCCACUUAAGAAAUCAUAAUUAUUAAGGCAGAAGCUCAGAAUGCUUUGGCUAAGGAUGUUACUCCUUGGGCUGCUUUAUAUAUCUUGACUAUUUUAUUUAUGUCAGACAUAUUAAUGAAUAUUGCCUGCCUCUCUAUUUUCCUCAAAAGGAAUAUUGCUCAAACCACUAAUAAAGAAAUUAGUCUAAAACAUUCACAUAAAUGAUAAAUGUCCUUACCUUAACCAAAAGAUAAGAGAACUCAAGCUUUAGCCAGUUUCUAAACAUGAAGGGUUUCCAUAGACCUUAGCUGCCAUUUUACAUGUUCCAGUGGCAUCCUAGAUUCCCAAUAGUUUUAGUGCUAUGAGCAUACAAUUUUGACAUUCAGUCCCUCAGAACUACACACAUUCUAAUUUUGGUAGUAUGAAUAAUCUCUCCUAUGUGAUAAGUUAUUUAACCUUCUAAUAUUUCUUAGAAUCGAAAAGAACAAAUGAGCUGCAGCAAAGAAUGGCAAAUAACUUUUAUGCUUAACACAAUUUAAUAACCUGAAAUGAAGUAAGUAUGUGCUAUGUUUCCAUUAAAAAGUUUCCAGCCACAAUUAAUUGAACGAAAACUUGUCUUGUUCCAAGAUUAUUCUUGGAAAUGUAAUUUUAAAAUCUGCUUGAAAUGACGAAACUUACUUUUUUAUACCAUAUGAAAGCAAUUUCAUUUUUUAGGAAUGAUUUUUGGAUAGACUUCCGAUUGGAUAUUUUCCAUCGGAACUAGCAGCAUAGGGGGUCGGGAGAGGGGAGGGGAGGGAAGCAAUUCUGUGUUCUUUUGCCAGCACUGACAAAGGUCUGGUUGUCAGUGAUACCUUUACAGCUAAAUUUACUCCAGAGUGACAGAAACAGGUGCACCUCGGCCUGCCAGACACUUGUGCAGAGAGAUCACGCAUCUCACGGCUUGACGAUCAAGGGGGCAAAGCCUCGGUCUUCAUAGAAAAGGAGAGGAGGCAAACGCAGCCCAAACUGGGGGUUUCUCUUCAAAGCCAGCUGGUCUGGCUUUAUUCUACAGGAAUUUUUUUUACCUGUCAGGGUUUGGACAACAAAGCCCUCAGCAGGUGCUGACGGGUACAACUUCCUGGAGAAGCAGAAAGGCACUGAGAAAACAUCUUGCUCUGUUGCUCAGGCUGGAGCGCAAUGGUGCCAUCGUAGCUUACUGUAACCUUGAACGUCUGUGCUCAAGCAAUCUUCCUGCCUCAGCCUCCUGAGUAGCUGGGACUACAGAGACAGGGUCUUGUUCUAUUGUCCAAGCUGGUCUUGAAUUCCUGACCUCAAGCAAUCCUCCUGCCUCUGCCUCCCAAAGCACUGGGAUUAUUACAGGUAUGAGCCACCGUGCUGGGCCAUCAUGCUUACUCUUCGGAGGGAGAAGUGAAGUAUCUGAACGCCUCAGCCUGAGAAUGGGUCAUUUGCAAAGUAAAUAAAGGCAAAGCCAAAUGUCAGCACAACAAGCAAUUGAACAGAAUGACUGCAAACUGCUAAUGAAGGAGAAGGCAAGGUGCGGUUAGGAUGAACUGUAGAAGGACCCAUCCCCUAGAGCUCAUUGAGCAUCCACCCUGCUGUCCGGCCGUCCUCUCCAUAGAAAAACUACUGCUCUUUGUUAUUUUUCCAAAGCGUGCAUCUUGACGAGCACAUUGAGCCCAGGUGGCAUCUUUGCGGCUGCUCUGGCCAUGUACGCAGCUGUAUUUUUAGAGCACUCGGGGGGCUCGAUGGUCUUUGCCGACUUGAGGAAAUAGGUCACUGUAUUGCAGCAGAUCCUUGGUCAUGGGGCUGGGUUGGUCAUUGCCACUAUUUUAUGGGAUGGGGAAUUUGGAAGAUUAUGAAGUGUCAGCUGGUUGCCCUUGGACAUGCAGUGAGAGGGAGGAUUCUGUUUUGCUGGAAUUUAUAGUUUUUCUUUCUUUCUUUCUUUUUUUUUUUUUUUUGAGACAGAGUCUCGCUCUGUCGCCCAGGCUGGAGUGUGCAGUGGCUCGAUCUCGGCUCACUGCAAGCUCCGCUUCCCGGGUUCACGCCUUUCUCCUGUCUCAGCCUCCCCAGUAGCUGGGACUACAGGCGCCCGCCACGACGCCUGGCUAAUUUUUUUGUAUUUUUAGUAGAGACGGGGUUUCAUCGUGUUAGCCAGGAUGGUCUCGAUCUCCUGACCUCGCAAUCCGCCCGCCUCGGCCUCCCAAAGUGCUGGGAUUACAUAAGAGACCAUGAGGCAGGGGCGCAGUGGCUCAUACCUGUAAUCCCAGCGCUUUCGGAGGCUGAGUAGGAAGGAUCACUUGAUGCCAGGAGUUCGAGACCAGCCUGGGUAACAUAGUGAGACCCUCAUUUCUACAAAAUAUAAAAAUAUUAGCCAGGCAUGGUGGUGCAUGCCUAUAAUUUCAGCACUUUGGGAGGCUGAGGCAGGAGGAUCGCUUGACCCCAGGAGUUGGAGGAUGCAGUGAGCUAUGAUUGCUUCACUGUACCACAGUCUGGGUGACAGAGAAUGACUAUAUCAAAAAAAAAAAAAAAAAGAUCUGGUGGUACAGUUGCCCACCCCACCUCAUAUCACUGGAGUUUCUUGCUUGGCCCCACAUUCUCUCCAUAGUCUGACCAGAGAAGAGCCUUUGGGGUAUUUUUUUUUUUUUUUAAGAUGGAGUCUCACUCUGUCACCCAGGAUGGAGUGGAGUGGGAUCUUGGCUCACUGCAACCUCUGCCUCCUGGGUUCAAGUGAUCCUCCCACCUCAGCCUCCUGAGUAGCUGGGACUAUAGGUGUGUGCCACAACACCUGGCUAAUUUUUGUAUUUCACUAUGUUGGCCAGGCUGGUCUUGAACUCCUGACCACAGGUGAUCCUCCUGCUUCGGCCUCCCAAAAUGCUGGAAUCACAGGCAUAAGCCACCGUGCCUGGCCUGGGGUGUCUUUAUCCUAGACUUUCCCACUUUCUUGUAUCCUUGUUUCCUAUCCACGUGGGUCUCCUUGGCUCUGGCGUCUCCUUAGUCCUGCCACUUCUAAUACCUGAUGUGUUCCUCCCUGGAGGUAGCAUGACUUAGCAGAAAGAGCACAGCCUUUAGAGCGAGGCACACUAGGUUUGAAACCUAGCUCCCCAUUUACCGGCUGUGUGACCCUGGGAAAGUCACUUAACCUCUCUGAGCUUCCAGUCCUCAUUUGUAAAAUUGGGAACAAGAGUACAUAGGGGCUGGGCGCGGUGGCUCACGCCUGUAAUCCUAGCACUUUGGGAGGCUGAGGUGGGCAGAUCACCUGAGGUCAGGAGUUUGUGACCAGCCUGGCCAACAUGACAAAACUCCUCUUUAGUAAAAAUACAAUAAUUAGCUGGGUGUGGUGGCAGGAGCCUGUAAUCCCAGCUACUUGGGGGACUGAGGCAGGAGAAUUGCCUGAAUGUGGGAGGCAGAAGUUGCAGUGAGCCGAGAUCACAGCACGACACUCCAGCCUGGGCGACAGAGUGAGACUCUGUCUCAAAAAAAAAAAAAAAAGGGGGUGCAUUGGGAUUGUUGUGAGGAUUCAAUGGGACAGUAUAUGCAAACCACCUAAUACAAGGCACAUAGUAGGAGCUUAUUAUGGUGAUGGGGUGGCAUUGGCCACAGGGCCUUGGGCUCAGCCUGUCCCUCUGUCCCUCUGAUCUGGAUGGGUGGGUAUCCAGGGAAGUACCCCUACUUGAUAGGCCUCAAGCCCUCCCUCCUUGUGUCCAGAUCCUUUGAGCACCUACCUCCACGUCCCGCCCCUCUGCCCUCUCUCCCUGGCAUGAUCCUGGCCUUCCAGUCACAUCCCAAAACCACUUUGCCUGGUUUCCUUUGGGAAGCAAAGCCUGUCUGGGGCCCUCCAUAGACAGAGAAGCUGUGAAGGAGAUAAAUGCUGAAGAAGGGGUGAGGAGACAGACUCAGGGGCCAAUCAAAGUCAGGAAACAGGCUGGGUGUGGUGGCUCAUGCCUGUAAUCCCAGCACUUUGGGAGGCUGAGCCGCGGAUGACCUGAGUUCAGGAGUUCGAGACCAGCCUGGCCAACAUGGGGAAACCUCAUCUCCACUAAAAAUACAAAAAUUAACCGAGCAUGGUGGUGCAUGCCUGUAAUCCCAGAUACUCGGAAGGCUGAGACAGGAGAAUCGCUUGAACCCAGUGAGCCGAGAUCGCUUCACUGCAGUCCAGCCUGGGUGACAGAGCGAGACUCCAUCUCAAAAAAAAAAAAAAAAAAAAAAGGCUGGGUGUGGUGGCUCACGCCUGUAAUCUCAGCACUUUGGGAGACCAAGGCAGGUGGAUCACUUGAGGCCAGGAGUUUGAGACCAGCUUGGCCAACAUGGUGAAACCCCGUCUCUACUAAAAAUACAAAAAAUAGCCGGGCAUGAUGGACUAUGCCUGUAGUCCCAGCUACUCGGGUGGUUGAGGCACAAGAAUUGUUUAAACCCAGGAAGUGGAGGUUGCAGUGAGCCGAAAUUGAGCCACUGCACUCCAGCCUGGGCAACAGAGCGAGACUCUGUCUCAAAAAAAAAAAAAAAAAAAAAAAAUAUAUAUAUAUAUAUAUAUACACACACAAAAUUAUAUAUAUAUGUGUGUGUGUCUAUCUAUCUAUCUAUCUAUCUAUCUAUCUAUCUAUCUAUCUAUAUACAUAUACACAAAAUUAAGCCUACAAAUAUCUCUAAUCCUAGCCCUGGUUUUAGCCCUACCCUUAUCCCUAACCCUAAGACUUAUCCUGCUCAUAACCCUAAACCUAGCCGGAAUCCUAGCCGUAGCCAUCACUUAACCCUAACCUAACUCUAGUCCUAUCCCUAAACCCACCCCUAAAUCAAAUCCUAAUCCUAAAAACAGCCCUAGCUUCAAUCCUAACUCUACCAUAAGCCCUACUCUAGCCCUAAACCUAAUGCUAAAUCUAAGUGAGGUUUGCAAAAUGAACCCGGUGAAGCUGAUACUAAACUUUCCUCUUUUAUUCUGUUGCACUCAGGCCAAAUGAGUCUGGAGGAGUUGGGAAAAAAACGGGGCAGGGAGGGAAAUCUUAGCUUCCUACUGCAGAGGCGACUUUCAGCAUAAAUCGUCGCCUUCCACAAGAAAGCCAACAUGUUUCCAACAAGGAAUCUAAAUGGAAUCUUUCCUGAGUUAAGAGUGCACAGGGCUGUUACCAGCACCCACUCUCACAACAGACACCAGAAUCACAAAUGUCAGGGCUGGAAGAGGCUGUCGGGCAGCCCUUGAGGGGAUGAGAGACUGAGUACCAUGAAGAGCUAGUGACUUGCCUGAGGUCCCUAAAGGAAAUCGAAUUCCAUCCUGCACCUCCUCCAAUAAUACUGGCUUCCAGGCCAGGCGCGGUGGCUCACGCCUGUAAUCCCAGCACUUUGGGAGGCUGAGGCAGGCAGAUCACGAGGUCAGGAGUUCGAGACCAGCCUGGCCAACAUGGUGAAACCUUAUCUCUACUAAAAAUACAAAAAUUAGCCGGGUGUGGUGGCACGUGCCUAUAAUCCCAGCUACUCGGGAGGCUGAGGCAGGAGAAUCACUUGAACCCGGGAGGCGGAAGUUGCAGUGAACUGAGAUCGAGCCACUGCAUUGCAGCCUGAGUAAUAGAAUGAUGACUCUCUCAAAAGAAAAAAAAAAAGCAAAAAACCGGCUUCCAGCAUUUGUCAAAUGGCGUGAUCAGGUCAAAUAUUAGUUCAGGCCAUCUCCAGGGUCUGUUGUUUGUUUGUUUUGAGACAGGGUCUCACACUGUCAUGCAGACUGGAGUGCAGUGGCAUGAUCAUAGCUAACUGUGGCCUCCAACUCCUGGGCUCAAGUGAUCUUCCCACCUCAGUCACCCGAGUAGCUAAGCCUACAGGCAUGCACCACCAUGUCCGGCUAAUUUUAUUUUUUUGUAGGGGUGGGGUCUUGCUAUGUUGCCUAGGCUGAUCUUGAAUUCCUGGGAUCAAGGAAUCCUUCUGCUUUGGUCUCCCAAAGUGCUGGGAUUACAGGUGUGAGCCACUGUGCCUGGCCAAAGGGGUGCAUUUUGUGUGUUUAUUUUUAUUUUUAUUUUUUGAGACAGAGUUUCACUCUGUCGCCCAGUCUGGAGUGCAGUGGCACGAUCUCAGCUCACUACAGCCUCUCCCUCCCGGGUUCAAGCGAUUCUGCCACCUCAGCCUCCAGAAUAGCUGGGACUACAGGUGCCCACCACCACGCCUGGCUAAUUUUUGUAUUUUUAGUAGAGAUGGGGUUUCACCAUGUUGACCGGGCUGUUCUUGAACACCUGAACUCAGGUGAUCAGCCUGCCUCGGCCUUCCAAAGUGCUGGGAUUACAGGUGUGAACCAGUGCGCUCAGCCAGGGGUGCAUUUUUGAGUAGUAAAUGUGGGGAACACGGCUAUAGCACAUAAACCCCAGCAACCAUGCGGCUGCCACCAGGUUUGAGGGGACGCUGGUGGCCCCCUUCCACUGGGCAUCUUGCUCCUUCCACCCUGUAAUGUGAUGUUCCUUGAAGUGUGCUUCAAAUUCCUUAGCUAUAACGUUUUAUUUCAGAAUAAAAAUAAAUAACCAGGUCAGGAAAAGAAAACCGAUGGCAAGCCUUGCUGUGCGAGAGGAAUUUUUUUUGUUUUUGUUUUUUUACAGGUGACAAUUCCCAGUUAAACAUUUUCACACAGUCAAGGAGGGGGACAGCUUGGGCUCACAACAAUGCAGCUAGAAAAUCGGCCGGGCAUGAUGGCUCAUGCCUGUAAUGCCAGCACUUUGGGAGGCCGAGGCAGGCAGAUCACAUGAGGUCAGGAGUUUCAGAUUAGCCUGGCCAACAUGGUGAAAAGUCAUCUCUACUAAAAAUACAAAAAUUGGCCAGGUGUGGUGGUGGGCACCUGUAAUCCCAGCUACUCAGGAGGCUGAGGCAGGAGAAUUGCUUGAACCUGGGAGGUGGAGUGUGCAGUGAGCUGAGAUCACACUACUACACUUCAGCCUGGAAAACAGAGUGACACUCUGUCUCAAAAAUAAAAUAAAAUAAAAUAAUGGACUGGAAAAUCACUCAUGGGCCAAGCAGAUUGCUUGAUGGCUUGCCCAAGAGAUAUUUGAAAAUAUUAAGAGAAAUAGGAAUUAUGGAUCACGAUGGGCCCUUCAAAGAGGAGAAGAACGAUGCAUCGUCAGCUUCUGCAGAAGAUGAAUGACAGAGAAAAGAUAGAUGCGCUUAGGCCGGGCGCCGUGGCUCACGCCUGUAAUCCCACCACUUUGGGAGGCUGAGGUGGGUAGAUCAUGAGGUCAGGAGAUCGAGACCAUCUUGGCUAACAUGGUGAAACCCUGUCUUUACUAAAAUACAAAAAUUAUUAUAUUUUUGUAGAAAUGUGGUGGCAGAUGUCUGUAAUCCCAGCUACUUGGGAGGCUGAAGCAGGGGAAUCACUUGAAUCUGGGAGGUGGAGGUUGCUGUGAGCCAAGAUCACACCACUGCACUCCAGCCUGGCAACAGAGCAAGACUCUGUCUCAAAAAAAAAAAAAAAAAAAAAAGAAUAAAGAAAAAAGAAAAGAUAGUGGCUCACGCCUGUAAUCCCAGCACUUUGGGAGGCCGAGGUGGGCAGAUCACGAGGUCAGGAGAUCGAGACCAUCCUGGCUAACACGGUGAAACCCUGUCUCUACUAAAAAUACAAAAUAUUAGCCGGGUGUGGUGGCGGGCGCCUGUAGUCCCAGCUACUGGGGAGGCUGAGGCAGGAGAAUGGCGUGAACCUGGGAGGCGGAGCUUGCAGUGAUCCGAGAUUGCACCGCUGCACUCCACCCUGGGCAACAGAGUGAAACUCCGCCUAAAAAAAAAAAAAGAUAGAUACGCUGUUUUUUUCUUUUUUUUUCCACACUAGAGUUUUAUACUCUUCUCACAUAGUUUUGUUCUUUUCAGUAAAAGUAAUUCAUUAAAUCUAAACCUAGCUGUGAUGGUUUCUUGUUUCUUUGCAGGAUGUAUUUUGUUUUGCUUGUUAAACAAGUAACUCUACAAAUCGGAAAAUGUGCCUUGUCAGUAUACCCCAGACGAAGUCUCGCUCUGUCGCCCAGGCUGGAGUGCAGUGGCACAAUCUCUGCUCACUGCAAGUUCUGACUCCUGGGUUCACGCCAUUCUCCUGCCUCAGCCUCCCAAGUAGCUGGGACUACAGGCGCCCACCACCAUGCCCAGCUAAUUUUUUGUAUUUUUUUUUUAGUAGAGACGAGGUUUCACUGUGUUAGCCAGGAUGGUCUCGAUCUCCUGACCUUGUGAUCCACCCGCCUCGGCCUCCCAAAGUGCUGGGAUUACAGGCGUGAGCCACUGCGCCGCGCUACAAUGGAUAAAUAAUUUCUUAUUGUACUUUUAAUUUGCAUUUCUUUGAUUACUGUGAGGUUGAACCAUUUAAAAAUAAGCAUUGCCUUUUGUGUGAAUUGUGUUUCUUCUUUUGAGGAACAUUCCUCCUGCAUUCUUUGGCUCCCCUCCCCGCCCCAGACAUACAUUAGACUUUCCAAAGACUUGGAAAUUAACACUUCGUGGGUCAUAUUUACAGCAAUUAUUUACUCUGGUAAUUUCCUUUUCAUUUUAAUUGUACUAUUUUCAGGACUUUUAUGUGUUUUCAAAUGAAGAUCUUCUCAUCUGUGAUUGCUUCAAAGCUUGGAAAAUAAUAAUACCAUCAACGAAGUGAAAAUUACCCAAUUUUAUUUUUUUCUUCUAUUAUAUAUUUGUAUUAAGCUCUUUCAUCAACAUGGAAAAAAAUGACAGUAUUUAUGAUAGUCACACACACACACACGGAAUGUGAGAGGGGGAGGGUAUUUGUGAAAAGACCACAAAUUAGAUUGGGCAAAAUGGCUCAUACCUAUAAUCCUAGCACUUUGGGAGGACGAGGAAGGACGAUUUCUGAAAGCCAGGAGUUUGAGACCAGCUUGGGCAACAUAGUGAGACCUCAUCUCUAUAAAAAAUACAAAAUUAGCUGGACAUGGUGGUGUGUACUUGUAGUCCCAGCUACUUAGGAAGCUGUGGCAGGAGGAUUGCUUGACCUUAGGAGUUCAAGGCUGCAGUGAGCUAUGAUUGCACUGUGUCCAGAAUUGGUGGGUUCUUGGUCUUACUGACUUCAAGAAUGAAGCUGCACACCCUCGAGGUGAGUGUUACAGUUCUUAAAGAUGGUGUGUCCGGCGUUUGUUCCUUCUGAUGUUCAGACGUGGUCAGAGUUUUUUCCUUCUGGUGAGUUCGUGGUCUCACUGGCUUCAGGAGUGAAACUGCAGACCUUCGCCAUGAGUGUUACAGCUCUUAAGGCGGCGCGUCUGGAGUUGUUCAUUCCUCUCGGUGGGUUUGUGGUCUCGCUGGCCUCAGGAGUGGAGCUGCAGACCUUCUAGGUGAGUGUUACAGCUCAUAAAGGCAGUGCAGACCCAAAGAGCGAGCAGCAGCAAGAUUUAUUGCAACGAGUGAAAAAACAAAGCUUCCACAGUGUGGAAGGGGACCCAAGCAGAUUGCUGCUGCUGGCUCCAGCCGCCUGCUUUUAUUCUCUUAUCUGGCCCUCCAAGUCCCCAAGAGAUUAGCUAGACACAGAACACUGGUGCAUUUACAAACCUUGAGCUAGACACAGAGUGCUGAUUGGUGUUAUUUACAAUCCUUUAGCUAGAUAUAUAGGUUCUCCAAGUCCCCACCAGAUUAGCCAGAUACAGAGUGCUAAUUGGUGCAUCCACAAACCCCGAGCUAGACACAGAGCACUGAUUGGUGCAUUUACAAUCCUUUAGCUAGACAUAAAGGUUCUCCAAGUCCCCACCUGACUCAGGAGCCCAGCUGGCUUCCCCUAGUGGAUCACAGGCCAGGGCCGUGGGAGGAGCUGCCCGCUAGUCCUGUGGUGCGCGCCUGCACUCCUCAGCCCUUCGGCGGUCGAUGGGACCGGGUGCAGGGGGCGGCGCCCGUCGAAGAGUCUGGGGCUGCCGAGGAGCCCACCGCGGGGGACUCUGGCAUGGCGGGCUGCAGGUAGUGAGCCCUGCCCGGCCGGGAGGCGGCUGAGGCCCCGCGAGAAUUCCAGCCUGGCGCGGGCGGGCCGGCGGUACUGGGGGACCCGGCGCCCCCUCCGCAGCUGCUGGCCCAGGUGCUAAGCCCCUCACUGCCUGGGGCCAGCGGCGCCUGCUGGCCGCUUUGAGUGCGGAGCCCGCCGAGCCCACGCCCACCCGGAACUCGCGCUGGCCCGCGAGCUCCGCGCGCAGCCCGGUUCCCGCCCGCGCUUCUCCCUCCACACCUCCCUGCAAGCAGAGGGAGCCGGCUCCAGCCUCGGCCAGCCCAGAGAGGGGCUCUCACGGUGCAGCGGUGGGCCGAAGGGCUCCUCAAGCGUGGCCAGAGCGGACGCCGCGGUCGAGGAGGCACAGCGAGCGAGGGCCGCCAGCACGUUGUCACCGUUCAGCGCCACUGUACUCCAGCCCAGCCCCCAGCAUCCAUCUAACCAGAAAGAAAACAUGUGAGAUGUCUGAAAUAACAGAGAUUCAAAGGCAUUGGCUUCGACGGCUUGAGCAUUUACCAGGACUACCAUCUGCAACAUUUUUUGUUUUUUUUUUUUUUGCCAUAUACAUUGAGUGGAAAAAAAAUUAGAGGAAAGAGAAAGAAAUGGUCACAGCUAGGGGAGGGCAGGAGUUCUGGUGUGAGGGGAAGGGACUGGGCAGGGCAGGAGGGUGACAUAGCCAGAGCCCAGCCUCCUGUCCUGUCCUGCAUUCUCCCCCACGGCAGAGGGGACCAUGGAGGGUGCUCAGGUCAGGAAAUGGAUCUGUCACUUCUCAAACUAUAGAUGACGCCAAUGACUGACAUAAUGAAGGAGUGUGAGAUUUCCCUUCAGCUCAAGGCUUGGAGUUUGCUGCCCUGGCCAUCCUUGUGCAGAGACAUGGGGUCUCCAGAACUUUUUGUUUUCUUCUUUUUUUUUUGAGACAGAGCCUCACUCUGUCACCCAGGCUAGAGCGCAGUGGUGUGACCUCAGCUCACUGCAACAUCUGCCUCCCUGGUUCAAGCGAUUCUCCUGCCUCAGCCUCUCAUGUAGCUGGGACAACAGGCGCACGCCACCAUGCCCAGCUAAUUUUCGUAUUUUUUUUUAGUACAGAUGGGGUUUCACCAUGUUGGCCAGGAUGGUCUCUAUCUCUUGACCUCGUGAUCCGCCUUGGCCUCCCAAAGUGCUGGGAUUACAGGCAUGAGCCAUGGUGCCUGGCCUUGUUUUUGUUUUUGAGACACAGUCUCACUCUGUCGUCCAGGCUGGAGUGCAGUGGUGCAAUCUCGGCUCACUGCAACCUCCGCCUCCUGGGCUCAAGAGAUUCUCCUGCCUCAGCCUCCUGAGUAGCUGGGAUUAUAGGUGCCUGCCACCACGCCCAGCUAAUUUUUGUGUAUUUUAGCAGAGAUGGGGUUUCUCCAUGUUGUCCAGGCUGGUCUCGAACUCCUACGAUCUCCAGAACUUUUAUUUUAUUUUAUUUAUUUUUUUCGAGACGGAGUCUUGCCCCGUCGCCCAGGCUGGAGUGCAGUGGCGCCAUCUCGGCUCACUGCAACCUUCGCCUCCUGGGUUCAAGCAAUUCUCCUGCCUCAGCCUCCCAAGUAGCUGGGAUUACAGGGUCAAGCAACCACGCCUGGCUAAUUUUUGUAUUUUUAGUAGAGAUGGGGUUUCACCAUGUUGGCCAGGCUGGUCUUGAACUCCUGACCUCAAGUGAUUCACCCACCUCAGCCUCCCAAAGUGCUAGGAUUAUAGGUGUGAGCCACCACGCCCGGCCAUCCAGAGCUUUUAAAUUCUCCUGAAGGACUUAGGACCGAUCCUUUCCUCCCCACCAGGGUCCUGCUUCUCUUUUUCUCUUCCUCCCUUUCUCUUGCUUUGUUAAUUCUUCUUCACUCCCUUGGUCCAUGGCCACUCCCAGUUCCAUCAAGCCCAGAUGGGACCCCAUGGGGUCAAGAGGGUGUUGCCCUGGGAUGCUGACCUCAUGCUCUGAGCAGUCUCCCCAGGUAUCCUGAUCCCAUGGGGGGAAGCUGCUGACAGAUGGUUCUGAUGUGAACAGCACCUCCAGGCUACUGGACCUUAUAACCAAGGUUCAGAGCUCAGAGCACAUGUGCUGGUACCAGAGAGUCUCAGGGGUCCUGAGCCAGCAUCCCCCACGCCACAUAAACAAGCAAAGCGGGCCAUCUUGUCCUGCCACUGUGUGGCCCUAAAAAAGAGGGGGUGCCAGAUGCAGUAGCUCAUACCUGUAACUUCAGCACUUUGGGAGGCCGAGGUGGAGGAUCACUUGAGGUCAGGAGUUCCAGACCAGCCUGGCCAACAUGGUGAAACCCCGUCUCUUACUAAAAAAAAAAAAAAAAAAAAAAUAGGUGUGGUGGCAGACGCCUGUAAUCCCAGCUACUCAGGAGGCUGGGGCGGAGAAUCACUUGAACCUGGGAGGCAGAGGUUGCAGUGAGCCAAGAUUGCAUCACUGUACUCCAGCCUGGGUGAGAAGAGCAAAAAAAAAAAAAAAAAUGGAAUUUUCUGGAUAGUGGCAGGAAGCGGCUGGAUCAGGCCAAGUCCCAUGGUAAGUCGCCCCUUCCUUAGAGCUUUCUGUGCCAACCUGACGUUCCUAACCUGGGACACACAAGGGUUAGUAAGCGAGGGUCAGGUGUCCAGUUCUGUCCUGCUUUGAGGGGGAAAAGGCGAGUGCAAGGGUAGACCGGCAUUGCCUUAGUCAGCCCCAGUGUGCGGGGGCCUUUUGCCUUUACUAAGAGCAAACCCAGACCUGGUGCACUGACUCACACCUGUAAUCUCUGCACUUUGAGGGGCUGAGGUGGGAGGAUCACUUGAGGCCAGGAAUUCAAGACCAGAGUGGGGAACACAGCAAGAACCUGUUUCUCAAAAAUCAGCCAGGUCUAGUGGCCUGUGCCUGUGGUUCCAGUUACUCAGAAGGCUGAGGUGAAAGGAUUGCCUGAGGCCAGGAGUUUGAAACGAAUCUGGGCAAUAUAGCAAGACCCCGCUCUACAAUUUUUUUUUUAAAUUAGCUGGAUGCAGUGGCUCACACCUGAAAUCCCAGCAGUUUGAGAUGUGAAGGUGGGAAGAUCUCUUGAGGCUAGGAGUUCAGGCCCAGCCCGGGCAACAUAGCAAGAUUCCAUCUCUACAAAAAUCUUUUUUAAAAAAUUAGCCAGGCACGGUGAUGUGUACCUGUAGUCUCAGUUACUCAGGAGGCUGAGGUGGGAGGAUCAUUUGAGCCCAGGCGUUUGAGGCUGCAGUGGGUCAUGAUUGCACCACUGCACUCCAGCCUGGGCCACAGAGCAAGACCCCAUCUCAAAUAAAUAGAUAAAUAAGUAACACUAAACCCUCAAAGCCAAAGAAGCUCUCCUCCUACGUCUCCAUCACUCCCCUCCCCACCUCCAGUUCUGGAGAAAUCAAGACACAAAGGAGGCCGCUCUGGGAAGUGCUAACAUGUAUUUAUUCCACAAGGUGGGAGAUGGGGUGAGGAGAUGAUCACCAGUAAGAUGUCACCAAAUGAGACACUGCGAAUCCCACACAGGGCAAGGGGGCAGCUACAGGGUUCAGCUCUGGGCAGGGCUUGGCCAGGGACAGUGUGGGGAAAAAGAGAUGGGGACUGGGAGAUGGGACAGCCUCCCAUCGGGGGCACCCCACAGGGCAGGGCUGAGACACAUCCUUCCGGCCAGUGACAUGGGGCCAAACCCACACCCUUCUCAUCCCUCGUCCCCAUCCAGGUGAGUAAUGAAGCAGCAAGCCCAAGGCCACACAGCUAGGUCAGCAUCGUCACACACUCCGGAACACACAGCCAGACACACACACACACACACACCCUGCCACGCACAGCACGCAGGCACACACACGCUUGUGCAUGCACACGCGUUCAUAUAUUAACUCUGAUUUAUAUGUGCACCCUAACCAGAGGGCAAUCGAAAAAAAUACUCUUCAGAGAGGAAACGACUGCCUUCUCCUCUGCCAGCCAGCAGAGCGUGGGGUGAAAUGAGGUGAGCCAAAAGCAUCUUCAAGGGUCCUGGCAGCCUUUGCUUCAGCCCUUAGGUUCUGGAUGGAGGCGCUGCUUCUCCCUGGUGGCAGCCUCUGGGAGUCAGGGCUCCCUGGUCCUUGACCCAGCUUCAUCCUGCGGGGCCCUUGUGGCUGAGAUCCUACUGCAGGCUUAGCCUAUUUCUGUCUCUGGCUUCCUCUAGACACAGGCAGGAGAGCUGGCCCAAGCACACUGAUAAGAGCCUAGUGCCCAGGUGAUUAGGAGAGAAAGCAUCAGCUCCAUCAGGUCAUCUCAGGAGGGGCCAGAAAAGUCCAGAGCUGCAGUGCCCAAAGCUACCCUGGUGGGAAGGGUUAGGGGCAGUAGCUGCCUUGGGGCGUGAACAGGCAGGUGUCAUCUGGGUAGAAGUAACCUCGGAGGAAAUAGUGCCCAGUCCUCACUGCCUCCUUUUAGGGCGGGGAGCUAGGACAUGGCUGAAGCCCCCGCUGCCUCCCACCGUGUUGAUGGCUGGAGUUCAGCAGCUGCUGCUGCAAGAGAUGAGACACAGGAGGGGACCCUGCCAGUCCCAGAUCCUGAUUCUGGGAUGGGAGAUGUGGAGGAGAACUGGACAGUCUUGCUCCUCGGUACCAGCUCCACAUCAGAGGCUGUGGAAGACAGCUCUCAGUUUCCCAGAGGAAGGGUGGGGGGCUUUUCCAGGGUGCAGGAAACUUGUGGGCAGCUGAAUGCCUGAGGGGGGACAGAGUCUUCAUCUGGGGUCCCUGUGCUGCCCUGGAGAAGCCCUGGGGGGCCCGUUGAGCACCUGCCGGCCCCUUGCUGUCUCUCUGCCAGGGCAGCUGGUCCAGAUGUUGGGGGGAGCAGCCAUGUCCUGGGGGCCAGGGUCCAGUGCCCCAGCUCCCUCCCUCUACUUGAUGGAGUUCUUAAUGGUCCACCUCUGACCUGUGCAGCUGCGGAGGAUGAGGUCGAUGCCAGCCAGGCCGCGGUUCUCCACCUCCAGGCAGCGUCCCGUGCCCUUGUUCAUGAUGGCUCCAUUCUGGGAGGGGGCAAAAUCGAGGAGAGAGGAGAGAGAGACAGCGAGAGAUACAGAGAGAGGAAAAAGAAAAAGAGAGAAGAGAAAGAGAGAAAGAGGCAAAGAGAAGACAGAAAGGAGAGAGAAAAAGAGGGAAGAGAGGAGAAAGAAGAUAGAGACAGAAGAGAGACAGGAGAGAGAAUGAGACAGACAAAGAGAAGACAAAGGGAGGAGGGGUAGAAAAAGAGGGAAGAGAGAGAAGAUAGGAGAGAGAGAAAGAGAAAGGGGAGAGAGAGAAAAGAAGAGAGGAACAGAGAGAAGACAGAGGAGAGACAAGACAGAGAAGAGAAAGAGAGAAAGGGAGAGAGAGGCAGAGAGAGGGAGACGGAGAGGGAGAGAGAGGGAGAGAGAGAGAGUGCAAUAGGAGAGAGAAAGAAAGAGAGAGAGAGAGGCUUAACUAUCAUGGCGCCUGGCACAUAGCUUCUUGCAGAGAAUCAAUUCCACCAAAAUUCUUUGCAUGAGACUGGGGCAGGGAAGCAUGAGGACCUCCUCUGGGGACUCUGAAGUCAGAACCUAAAUAAGCUUCACCCAGUUGGAGUAUCUGAAUCAGGUGAGGAGCAUUGGUGGGGGAUGGGGUCAGGAUGGGGUCAGGAUGUUGAGUUUCCUGGGAUAUUCUUGGUCUGAUAGUCUCAACCCCACUGGCUGUGGGUACUUAGUGGAUUUCAAGGAAGUCCCCCCUCACUCCUAUCUCAGGAUUGAUCAGAGCUCAACUAGCCUAGCACUGACGUAGGAAUCAGAAAUGCUACUCCAUGCAGAAACUCCACAGCUGCCCCCAGGAAGUGCUUUGGGUCCACAAGCCCAGCCCGGGGCAGGGAGACCUGGGUUCAGGGUCGCUUUUUGCUGGGGACCCCUGGGGAAGCAGGAUUCCCCUCUGUGGUCUGCAGCCUCUUGCAGCUACUCUGGGUGCUGGCUCUGUCCAUACAGCACUCACCUGGAUGAAGUUCCAGCGCUUGUACAGGCUGCUCUUGACCUUGUCGCAGUCCAGGAGCUGGGGCAGCCGACUCUUGGAGUUGUCCACCAGGCAGCGGGUGUCAGGGAGGAGUGUGGUGGUCCCCAGGGCACCCAAGUGCAGGAAGCCUUCCUUGGUGUAGCGGGCAAGCUGUCGAGAGACCAGAGCAGCAAGGGAAUGGAAGUGGGAGGCAGGAGUGAGACAUGGGAGGAAGCAGGGCUCAGGUCUCUCGGCUUUACUCCUGCUGUUUGUCAAUACUGCAGUCCUGGCCACCAUCCCAGCCUGUCACUCAGGCCAUAUGCUCACCUCACAGGACAGCCCUGUUUCAGAAAGCCACCCAGGUUUCUGAGCCUGGAUACAGAGUCCCCAGGGCAAUUCUCUGAUCUUUUUUCCUUUUUUCUUUGAGAUGGAUUCUCACUCUGUUGCCCUGUCUGGAGUGCAAUGGCAUGAUCUCAGCUCACUGCAACCUCCGCUUCCCAGGUUCAAGCAAUUCUCCUGCCUCAGCCUCCUGAGUACAUGGAAUUACAGGUGCGCACCACCACACUCGGCUAAUUUUUGUAUUUUUAGUAGAGAUGGAGUUUCACCCUGUUGGUCAGGCUGGUCUCGAACUCCUGACCUCGUGAUCUGCCCACCUCGGCUUCUCAAAGUGCUGGGAUUACAGGCAUAAGCCACCGCGCCCGGCCCUGAUCUUUUAUCUAAGCAUAUCCUCAGUCAAUGUUUUAGGACCUAGUCUUCUGUUCAGCAACGUCGGGGAGAAGGAAUAGAUGAAGAAGCUGGAUGUCUAAUUUCUAAAUGGCUCUACUUUCAGCUGGCUGGGCCACCUUGAACAAGUAACCUGAGUCUCCAUUUCCUCCCCACUUACAAAGGGGGAUUGACUAAAUCUACCCUGCUGCAAAAGGCUCAAAGAAGCCAUUCACUGAAGAAGAAACAGACAUUAAACAGUACUCAGUACUCAACCUCAUAGAUAUGAAAAGAAACAAAAAUCUAAAAUAAUGAGAUACCACAUUUUACAAAAGAGAUUAGGCCAGGCUCAGUGGCUCAUGCCCGUGAUCCCAGCACUUUGGGAGGCUGAGGCAGGCAGAUCACUUGAAGCCAGGAGUUUGAGACCAGCCUGACCAACAUGGCCAAACUCCGUCUCUUCUAAAACUACAAAAAUCAGCUCGGUGUGGUGGUGAGCAACUAUAAUCCAAGCUAUUCAGGAGGCUGAGGCAGGAGAAUUGCUUGAACCUGGGGGUGUGGAGGUUGCAGUGAGCAAAGAUCGUGCCACUGCACUCCAGCCUGGGCAACAGAGUGAGGCUCUGUCUCAAAAAACAAACAAAAACCAAAAAAAAAAAAAAAAAAAACCCAAAAA
Molecule: RNA transcript, 23078 nt
Organism: Pan troglodytes (chimpanzee)
Lineage: Eukaryota; Metazoa; Chordata; Mammalia; Primates; Hominidae
Gene name: putative STAG3-like protein 4
Exons: 6
Source: RefSeq, a predicted model, not a curated record